Non-coding RNA from Pelobates cultripes (western spadefoot toad), 245 nucleotides. NCBI's taxonomy places the organism in Eukaryota, Metazoa, Chordata, Amphibia, Anura, Pelobatidae. The record is from the annotation of a GenBank genome assembly.
GCUGGGAGCUGCUGGCUCUGUGCAGGCUGGGAGCUGCUGGCUCUAUUCAGGCUGGGAGCUGCUAGCUCUGUGCAGGCUGGGAGCUGCUGGCGCUGUCCAGGCUGGGAACUGCUGGCUCUAUGCAGGCUGGGAACUGCUUUGUCUGUGCAGGCUGGGAGCUGCUGGCUCUGUGCAGGCUGGGAGCUGCUGGCUCUGCGCAGGCUGGGAGCAGCUGGCGCUGUCCAGGCUGGGAGCUGCUAGCUCUG